RNAcentral lists this ribosomal RNA (982 nucleotides) under uncultured Bacteroidota bacterium. RNAcentral describes it as "bacterial SSU rRNA". It matches the Rfam family "Bacterial small subunit ribosomal RNA", at positions 505 to 1501 of the family's 1533-position model. Lineage: Bacteria; Pseudomonadati; Bacteroidota. The record is from RNAcentral.
GUGUCAGCCGCCGCGGUAAUACGGAGGAUCCGAGCGUUAUCCGGAUUUAUUGGGUUUAAAGGGUGCGUAGGUGGUUUGAUAAGUCAGCGGUGAAAGUUUGCAGCUUAACUGUAAAAAUGCCGUUGAAACUGUCGGACUUGAGUGUAAAUGAGGUAGGCGGAAUGCGUGGUGUAGCGGUGAAAUGCAUAGAUAUCACGCAGAACUCCGAUUGCGAAGGCAGCUUACUAAGCUACAACUGACACUGAAGCACGAAAGCGUGGGGAUCAAACAGGAUUAGAUACCCUGGUAGUCCACACAGUAAACGAUGAAUACUCGCUGUUUGCGAUAUACAGUAAGCGGCCAAGCGAAAGCAUUAAGUAUUCCACCUGGGGAGUACGCCGGCAACGGUGAAACUCAAAGGAAUUGACGGGGGCCCGCACAAGCGGAGGAACAUGUGGUUUAAUUCGAUGAUACGCGAGGAACCUUACCCGGGCUUGAAUUGCAGAGGAAUAUAGUUGAAAGAUUAUAGCCGCAAGGUCUCUGUGAAGGUGCUGCAUGGUUGUCGUCAGCUCGUGCCGUGAGGUGUCGGCUUAAGUGCCAUAACGAGCGCAACCCUUAUCAUUAGUUACUAACAGGUCAUGCUGAGGACUCUAGUGAGACUGCCGUCGUAAGAUGUGAGGAAGGUGGGGAUGACGUCAAAUCAGCACGGCCCUUACGUCCGGGGCUACACACGUGUUACAAUGGGGGGUACAGAGGGCAGCUACCGGGCGACCGGAUGCCAAUCCCAAAAACCUCUCUCAGUUCGGAUCGAAGUCUGCAACCCGACUUCGUGAAGCUGGAUUCGCUAGUAAUCGCGCAUCAGCCACGGCGCGGUGAAUACGUUCCCGGGCCUUGUACACACCGCCCGUCAAGCCAUGGGAGCCGGGGGUACCUGAAGUACGUAACCGCAAGGAGCGUCCUAGGGUAAAACUGGUGACUGGGGCUAAGUCGUAACAAGGUAACC